This 253-nucleotide ribosomal RNA is filed under the name uncultured bacterium. RNAcentral describes it as "partial 16S ribosomal RNA". It matches the Rfam family "Bacterial small subunit ribosomal RNA", at positions 524 to 776 of the family's 1533-position model. The record is from RNAcentral.
UACGUAGGGGGCAAGCGUUGUCCGGAAUUACUGGGCGUAAAGGGCGCGUAGGCGGCCCGUCAAGUCCCGUGUGAAAGCCCCCGGCUCAACCGGGGAACGGCGCGGGAAACUAGCAGGCUUGAGUUCGGGAGAGGGAAGCGGAAUUCCGGGUGUAGCGGUGAAAUGCGCAGAUAUCCGGAGGAACACCGGUGGCGAAGGCGGCUUCCUGGACCGACACUGACGCUGAGGCGCGAAAGCUAGGGGAGCAAACGGG